GCUCCUAUAGUUUAAUGGUAGAACAUUGUUCUUAUACAACAAGAGCCUGAGUUCGAUUCUCAGUGGGAGCA
RNAcentral lists this transfer RNA (71 nucleotides) under Magnetococcales bacterium. Its description in RNAcentral is "tRNA-Ile". It matches the Rfam family "tRNA". Rfam says of the family: Transfer RNA (tRNA) molecules are approximately 80 nucleotides in length. Their secondary structure includes four short double-helical elements and three loops (D, anti-codon, and T loops). Lineage: Bacteria; Pseudomonadati; Pseudomonadota; Magnetococcia; Magnetococcales. The record is from RNAcentral.